RNAcentral lists this ribosomal RNA (1197 nucleotides) under Staphylococcus pseudintermedius. RNAcentral describes it as "bacterial SSU rRNA". It matches the Rfam family "Bacterial small subunit ribosomal RNA", at positions 1 to 1179 of the family's 1533-position model. Lineage: Bacteria; Bacillati; Bacillota; Bacilli; Caryophanales; Staphylococcaceae. The record is from RNAcentral.
UUUAUGGAGAGUUUGAUCCUGGCUCAGGAUGAACGCUGGCGGCGUGCCUAAUACAUGCAAGUCGAGCGAACAGAUAAGGAGCUUGCUCCUUUGACGUUAGCGGCGGACGGGUGAGUAACACGUGGGUAACCUACCUAUAAGACUGGAAUAACUCCGGGAAACCGGGGCUAAUGCCGGAUAACAUGUUGAACCGCAUGGUUCUACAGUGAAAGACGGUCUUGCUGUCACUUAUAGAUGGACCCGCGCCGUAUUAGCUAGUUGGUGGGGUAACGGCCUACCAAGGCGACGAUACGUAGCCGACCUGAGAGGGUGAUCGGCCACACUGGAACUGAGACACGGUCCAGACUCCUACGGGAGGCAGCAGUAGGGAAUCUUCCGCAAUGGGCGAAAGCCUGACGGAGCAACGCCGCGUGAGUGAUGAAGGUCUUCGGAUCGUAAAGCUCUGUUGUUAGGGAAGAACAAAUGUGUAAGUAACUGUGCACAUCUUGACGGUACCUAACCAGAAAGCCACGGCUAACUACGUGCCAGCAGCCGCGGUAAUACGUAGGUGGCAAGCGUUAUCCGGAAUUAUUGGGCGUAAAGCGCGCGUAGGCGGUUUUUUAAGUCUGAUGUGAAAGCCCACGGCUCAACCGUGGAGGGUCAUUGGAAACUGGAAAACUUGAGUGCAGAAGAGGAAAGUGGAAUUCCAUGUGUAGCGGUGAAAUGCGCAGAGAUAUGGAGGAACACCAGUGGCGAAGGCGGCUUUCUGGUCUGCAACUGACGCUGAUGUGCGAAAGCGUGGGGAUCAAACAGGAUUAGAUACCCUGGUAGUCCACGCCGUAAACGAUGAGUGCUAAGUGUUAGGGGGUUUCCGCCCCUUAGUGCUGCAGCUAACGCAUUAAGCACUCCGCCUGGGGAGUACGGUCGCAAGACUGAAACUCAAAGGAAUUGACGGGGACCCGCACAAGCGGUGGAGCAUGUGGUUUAAUUCGAAGCAACGCGAAGAACCUUACCAAAUCUUGACAUCCUUUGACCGCUCUAGAGAUAGAGUUUUCCUCUUCGGAGGACAAAGUGACAGGUGGUGCAUGGUUGUCGUCAGCUCGUGUCGUGAGAUGUUGGGUUAAGUCCCGCAACGAGCGCAACCCUUGAACUUAGUUGCCAUCAUUCAGUUGGGCACUCUAAGUUGACUGCCGGUGACAAACCGGAGGAAGGUGGGGA